GCAGUACUGGUGUAAUGGUAGCGCCUUAGCCUUCCAAGCUAAUGGUAGGGGUUCGAUUCCCCUGUACUGCU
RNAcentral lists this transfer RNA (71 nucleotides) under Ostreobium quekettii. RNAcentral describes it as "tRNA-Gly". It matches the Rfam family "tRNA". From Rfam's summary of the family: Transfer RNA (tRNA) molecules are approximately 80 nucleotides in length. The record is from RNAcentral. RNAcentral also lists the same sequence under 5 other names. Lineage: Eukaryota; Viridiplantae; Chlorophyta; Ulvophyceae; Bryopsidales; Ostreobiaceae.